Molecule: ribosomal RNA, 595 nt
Filed under: uncultured bacterium
Lineage: Bacteria
Description: bacterial SSU rRNA
Rfam family: Bacterial small subunit ribosomal RNA
Source: RNAcentral
CCUACGGGAGGCAGCAGUAAGGAAUAUUGGACAAUGGACGCAAGUCUGAUCCAGCCAUGCCGCGUGAAGGAUUAAGGCCCUCUGGGUUGUAAACUUCUUUUAUAGGGGACGAAAAAAGGGCUUUCUAGCUCGACUGACGGUACCCUAUGAAUAAGCACCGGCUAACUCCGUGCCAGCAGCCGCGGUAAUACGGAGGGUGCAAGCGUUAUCCGGAUUCACUGGGUUUAAAGGGUGCGUAGGCGGGUAGGUAAGUCAGUGGUGAAAUCUUCGAGCUCAACUCGGAAACUGCCAUUGAUACUAUUUAUCUUGAAUAUUGUGGAGGUGAGCGGAAUAUGUCAUGUAGCGGUGAAAUGCUUAGAUAUGACAUAGAACACCAAUUGCGUAGGCAGCUCGCUACACAUAUAUUGACGCUGAGGCACGAAAGCGUGGGGAUCAAACAGGAUUAGAUACCCUGGUAGUCCACGCCCUAAACUAUGAUUACUCGACAUAUGCGAUACACUGUAUGUGUCUGNGNGAGANAUAUAUACACNGAGACGACGCGAGUAGAAGUAAUAGAGUAGAGAGNGAGAGNGCGAGGACGACACGAGGGAGGAGG